Molecule: long non-coding RNA, 733 nt
Filed under: Nicotiana tabacum (common tobacco)
Lineage: Eukaryota; Viridiplantae; Streptophyta; Magnoliopsida; Solanales; Solanaceae
Description: long non-coding RNA (NTAB_LNC014195)
Source: RNAcentral
CACUCAAAAGGUAAGUUCCCGCGAAACUCCCUUUUAUCUUCUAUUAAAACAAGAAAACUCAAAAAAAUAGAUCGUGUAGCAUUCUCGAGCUUUAUCCCCAGCCAAUCAGCAUUAGGGUUUUAAACCUUAAACUGAACUUUUCCCUUUCAGCCAGCAUUAGAGUUUUAAACUCUAAACUGAGCUUUUCCAUGCAAUCAGCAUUAGGGUUUUAAACCCUAAACUGAAUUUUCCUGUUAGUCAGCAUUAGGGUUUUAAACCCUAAACUGAACUUUUUCCUUUCAGCCAGCAUUAGAGUUUUAAACUCUAAACUGAGCUUUUCCAUGCAAUCAGCAUUAGGGUUUUAAACCCUAAACUGAAUUUUCCUUUUAGUCAGCAUUAGGGUUUUAAACCCUAAACUGAACCUUUUUCCUUUCAGCCAGCAUUAGAGUUUUAAACUCUAAACUGAGCUUUUCCAUGCAAUCAGCAUUAAGGUUUUAAACCCUAAACUGAAUUUUCCUUUUAGUCAGCAUUAGGGUUUUAAACCCUAAACUGAACUUUUUCCUUUUCAGCCAGCAUUAGAGUUUUAAACUCUAAACUGAGCUUUUUCAUGCAAUCAGCAUUAGGGUUUUAAACCCUAAACUGAACUUUUCCCUUUCAGCCAGCAUUAGAGUUUUAAACUCUAAACUGAGCUUUCCCAUGCAAUCAGCAUUAGGGUUUUAAAUCCUAAACUGAAUUUUCCUUUUAGUCAGCAUUA